Molecule: long non-coding RNA, 721 nt
Filed under: Priapulus caudatus
Lineage: Eukaryota; Metazoa; Priapulida; Priapulimorpha; Priapulimorphida; Priapulidae
Description: uncharacterized LOC106813525, transcript variant X2
Source: RNAcentral
GUUAGAAGUGUGUUCAAAUAAUUUUACAUGAGACUUUAAAUUACGACACAACAUGAUUGAGAUUACAUGCAAUGAUCGGCUUGGAAAAAAGGUGCGCGUGAAGUGCAAUCCUGAUGACACAAUUGGAGACUUAAAGAAGCUUGUUGCAGCACAAACAGGAACAAAAUGGGAUAAAAUUGUCCUUAAGAAAUGGUAUACAAUUUUCAAGGACCACAUAACAUUGGAGGAUUAUGAAAUCAAAGAUGGAAUGAACUUGGAACUCUAUUAUCAAUAAACAUUUGUAAAUAUCUAGGUGUAAAUCUCAGUGUGUUGUAACCAAGCCACCUCACAUUAUUGCACUCUGUAAACACAAAGUAGGCACGAACCAAAUUACAGUAAACAAUGCAUUGUAUUACAGUAUAUAAGAUAUACUCUUAUUUUGUACAAAUGUGUAUGUCUUUAGAAAUUGUGAUCAUGAAAAAAUUGUGAGCAAAUUCAGGUAAUGUCAUCAACACUGCUUUUGUGCAUUGUUUUUAUUGUGAGAAUUGAUUAAUUUUUGCUAUUUUACUGCCAUAAUAUGGGGGAUGCUACUGUGUAGAAGGCAUUGAUGUAAUGUAGAAGCUUCAAUGUUAUGAAAUAGCAACAUAUUCUGUUACAUCUGUAUUCUUGAGUUUUGCAAUUGAUCUUUUGUGAGUGUACACAUGGAAUUUUGUUUUAUAAUUACACAUACAAAUAUAGGAAA